RNAcentral lists this long non-coding RNA (426 nucleotides) under Marmota monax (woodchuck). Lineage: Eukaryota; Metazoa; Chordata; Mammalia; Rodentia; Sciuridae. The record is from RNAcentral.
ACAAAAGCUCACAGGACAUCUGCAUUGCCAAGGCUUUCAACCAUAUGUGAUUAAUUUGGACCCAGCCAUUCAUGAAGUCCCCUUCCCUGCCAAUACAAAUAUUCAUGACACUGUGAAGUAUAAAGAAGUCAUGAAACAAGGUGAUCUUGGGUUCAGUGGUGACAUAGCAACUUCUCUCAAUCUCUUCGCUACCAGGUUUUAUUAAAAAAAUAAAAUUUAUUCAGAAGUCCCAGAAUGCAUCUUACUUGAUACAUCUGGACAGAUUGAAAAAUUCACCUCCUCAGUUUCUGGGACAAUCAUCACUGAGGCCCUGGCAUCCUCAUUUCCAGCAGUGGUGAUUUAUAUAAUGGACAUCUUAAAAUGUACUAACCCAGUGCCCCUCAUCUCUAAUGCACUCUAUGCCUGUAGCACCUUGUAUAAAACCAA